AUUGAACGCUGGCGGCAUGCCUUACACAUGCAAGUCGAACGGUAACAGGUCUUCGGAUGCUGACGAGUGGCGAACGGGUGAGUUAUACAUCGGAACGUGCCCGAUCGUGGGGGAUAACGAGGCGAAAGCUUUGCUAAUACCGCAUACGAUCUACGGAUGAAAGCGGGGGAUCUUCGGACCUCGCGCGGACGGAGCGGCCGAUGGCAGAUUAGGUAGUUGGUGGGAUAAAAGCUUACCAAGCCGACGAUCUGUAGCUGGUCUGAGAGGAUGAUCAGCCACACUGGGACUGAGACACGGCCCAGACUCCUACGGGAGGCAGCAGUGGGGAAUUUUGGACAAUGGGCGAAAGCCUGAUCCAGCCAUGCCGCGUGCAGGAUGAAGGCCUUUGGGUUGUAAACUGCUUUUGUACGGAACGAAAAGCCUCUUUCUAAUAAAGAGGGGUCAUGACGGUACCGUAAGAAUAAGCACCGGCUAACUACGUG
Molecule: ribosomal RNA, 482 nt
Filed under: uncultured bacterium
Lineage: Bacteria
Description: partial 16S ribosomal RNA
Rfam family: Bacterial small subunit ribosomal RNA
Source: RNAcentral